GGAGGGGUCGCAUAGUGGUCUAGUGCGGGCGCCUGCUAAGCGCUUAGAUGGAGAAAUCCUUCUCAUGGGUUCGAAUCCCAUUCCCUCCGCCA
This 92-nucleotide transfer RNA is filed under the name Chloroflexota bacterium. RNAcentral describes it as "tRNA-Ser". It matches the Rfam family "tRNA". Rfam says of the family: Transfer RNA (tRNA) molecules are approximately 80 nucleotides in length. Their secondary structure includes four short double-helical elements and three loops (D, anti-codon, and T loops). Further hydrogen bonds mediate the characteristic L-shaped molecular structure. tRNAs have two regions of fundamental functional importance: the anti-codon, which is responsible for specific mRNA codon recognition, and the 3' end, to which the tRNAs corresponding amino acid is attached (by aminoacyl-tRNA synthetases). tRNAs cope with the degeneracy of the genetic code in two manners: having more than one tRNA (with a specific anti-codon) for a particular amino acid; and 'wobble' base-pairing, i.e. permitting non-standard base-pairing at the 3rd anti-codon position. The record is from RNAcentral. RNAcentral also lists the same sequence under 2 other names. Lineage: Bacteria; Bacillati; Chloroflexota.